UAGGGAAUCUUCCGCAAUGGGCGAAAGCCUGACGGAGCAACGCCGCGUGAGUGAUGAAGGUCUUCGGAUCGUAAAACUCUGUUAUUAGGGAAGAACAAAUGUGUAAGUAACUAUGCACGUCUUGACGGUACCUAAUCAGAAAGCCACGGCUAACUACGUGCCAGCAGCCGCGGUAAUACGUAGGUGGCAAGCGUUAUCCGGAAUUAUUGGGCGUAAAGCGCGCGUAGGCGGUUUUUUAAGUCUGAUGUGAAAGCCCACGGCUCAACCGUGGAGGGUCAUUGGAAACUGGAAAACUUGAGUGCAGAAGGGGAAAGUGGAAUUCCAUGUGUAGCAGUGAAAUGCGCAGAGAUAUGGAGGAACACCAGUGGCGAAGGCGACUUUCUGGUCUGUAACUGACGCUGAUGUGCGAAAGCGUGGGGAUCAAACAGG
Molecule: ribosomal RNA, 429 nt
Filed under: Actinomycetes bacterium
Lineage: Bacteria; Bacillati; Actinomycetota; Actinomycetes
Description: Actinobacteria bacterium partial 16S ribosomal RNA
Rfam family: Bacterial small subunit ribosomal RNA
Source: RNAcentral